This 2133-nucleotide long non-coding RNA is filed under the name Mus musculus (house mouse). RNAcentral's name for it is "long non-coding RNA chr10:80301029-80303162". Lineage: Eukaryota; Metazoa; Chordata; Mammalia; Rodentia; Muridae. The record is from RNAcentral.
GGAAGGAGGAUCAGUCGUGGAGGUCUCAGGAUAGCCUUGGAGGGAGAGCCAAGCUGGGGGAGAAGGUGCUGGCCAACUGGACAGAGGGAGGAGGCCGGACAGAGAGAGAAAGAAAAGACAGACAGAAGCACAAAGAAUGGGGCUGUGACGGAGCUGAGGGAGGCAUGGUAUCCAGGCUGGAGGUUGCUGAGCCAUGAACAGAGCCACUGGGGACCCUUGCGUGAGUGGAGGGAUGUGGGGCCACAGGGGGUCCCGGCCCAGGACACAAACACCUGGGAGGAUUGUGGUGAGUCGGGGUCUUCUGCAUCGCCCUCCCUUCCUCUUGCCCAUCACUCUCUUAGCCAAGGCUGCUCGGCCUUCAGGGUGUUCUGGGCUAUCUAGUGACCCCUCCUUCCCAGUGUGUCUGCCCUCCUGUCUGUCUGUCUGUCUGUCUGUCUGCAGUCAGCUUCUCCUGUGUCAGUCUGUGAGCCUGGUGGCCUCCAGGUGGCCCUGCUGACUUAGACUGCCAGGGUGACAGAUGUCUGUGUGUCUCUCUGGCUGUCAGUACAGGUAUCAUAGAGUCUUUCUGUCUGUCCACCCAUCAGUUAGCCUUAUACACAUCAAAUAGCCUCCCAGGUUCAAUUCCUCCUGUUUCUAUGUCUCUCUCAAAUGCUGGUUCCCAGGUGACUGGUUGACACUAUUCCUGCCUCGAGGGCACACCCAGGAUGGGUGGGAGGGCUGGGCUCUGCUCCAGGACUUUCUGAGAGGGAGCCGAUGACCAGCACCCACUGUUGUGACCCCUUACCCCCAGGCACUGCAGGAGUUGAAAAUGACCAGCUCCAUGGCCUCAUAUGAGCAGCUGGUGCGCCAGGUGGAGGCCCUGAAGGCCGAGAACACUCACUUAAGGCAGGAGCUGAGGGAUAACUCUAGCCAUCUCUCCAAGCUUGAGACAGAGACUUCUGGAAUGAAGGUGAGAGCCUGCAUGGAGGGCAUGGGUCAGAAAGACAGACACGAAAGCACCGAUGUCUUGGGAGGGGUCCUCAAGGCAUGUGGACUGCCAGGGUGACAGAUGUCUGUGUGUCCAGGCAGCCCUGAUGCUCACAGACCUAUUCCCUACCAUGCCCGCAGGAGGUCCUGAAACACCUCCAGGGCAAGCUGGAGCAGGAGGCGAGAGUGCUCGUGUCUUCCGGGCAGACAGAAGUGUUAGAGCAACUGAAAGGUGAGUGACUUCCAGAACGGCCCAUGGCCAGCAGGGAUAUAGCAAGAGCAGGUCACUGACCUUCACCAGUGCCUCCCUCCCUCCAGCUCUUCAGACUGACAUCAGUAGCCUGUACAACCUCAAGUUUCAUGCUCCAGCCCUGGGCCCGGAGCCUGCCGCCCGGACUCCAGAGGGAAGCCCAGUGCACGGCUCUGGACCAUCCAAGGACAGCUUUGGAGAGCUGAGCCGGGCCACCAUCCGCCUGCUGGAAGAACUGGACCAGGAGAGGUGAGAGGGCGUGGGAAAGGACCUGCCCCCAGGGACCUCUGCCCUCGGAUUGGGUCGCUGGCAAUGACCCCGCCCCCAACCAGCCACACCCACCUCCAGGCUCUUUCACUCAUCUCCACUCUAUCCCUGUCUGGCUGACCCCAACUGGUGGACAGAGGAUAUGAGGACAUUCCUGGCAAGGGGAAAGGCUCCUGGGAGAGAAGAGCCUCCACCCCCAUCUCCGGGGCCGAGACAUACAGGCGUCCCUAGGGACAGAGCCGUAUCCAAAGUCAGGGCUCAGAAACAGGCCUGACGCCAGAGAUCCUCAAGGAGGCCUUUGUUGAUAGAAGGACAGAAGCCCAAAAAUUCUGGGCCCAGGGCCAGUGGAGGGGGCAGCACCAAAGGGGGCAACCCAGCUCGGCCCCUCUGGGUUGCACGAGGUCACUUGACAAACAGUUUAAGUCCGCUCUGCGGCGCAACUUCUCAGAUGAAUGCUCUGUAAAAUGGAAAUAGAACUUUGUUAAUUGGUAUUGUUUUUCCUUUCUGGAUCCCUGACCACAUUUAUUUCUUUGGGGACACCAUAGCACAUGUGUGGAAGUCAGAGAACACCAGGAAAUCCCGGGAGUCAAACUCAGGGUUCUUAGGUUGCCGACAAAUACCUUUGCCCACUCCGAUAACUUAGCCUAUUU